CGCUGGCGGGAUGCCUUACACAUGCAAGUCGAACGGCAGCAUGAUCUAGCUUGCUAGAUUGAUGGCGAGUGGCGAACGGGUGAGUAAUACAUCGGAACGUGCCCUGUAGUGGGGGAUAACUAGUCGAAAGAUUAGCUAAUACCGCAUACGACCUGAGGGUGAAAGUGGGGGACCGCAAGGCCUCAUGCUAUAGGAGCGGCCGAUGUCUGAUUAGCUAGUUGGUGAGGUAAAGGCUCACCAAGGCGACGAUCAGUAGCUGGUCUGAGAGGACGAUCAGCCACACUGGGACUGAGACACGGCCCAGACUCCUACGGGAGGCAGCAGUGGGGAAUUUUGGACAAUGGGGGCAACCCUGAUCCAGCAAUGCCGCGUGUGUGAAGAAGGCCUUCGGGUUGUAAAGCACUUUUGUCCGGAAAGAAAUCGCACUUACUAAUAUUAGGUGUGGAUGACGGUACCGGAAGAAUAAGGACCGGCU
Molecule: ribosomal RNA, 475 nt
Filed under: uncultured bacterium
Lineage: Bacteria
Description: bacterial SSU rRNA
Rfam family: Bacterial small subunit ribosomal RNA
Source: RNAcentral